AACUCCGGUGGUACAGGAUGGUCCCGCGUCUGAUUAGCCAGUUGGCAGGGUAACGGCCUACCAAAGCGACGAUCAGUAGCCGGCCUGAGAGGGUGGACGGCCACAUUGGGACUGAGACACGGCCCAAACUCCUACGGGAGGCAGCAGUGGGGAAUAUUGCACAAUGGGGGGAACCCUGAUGCAGCAACGCCGCGUGAAGGAAGACGGUUUUCGGAUUGUAAACUUCUAUCAAUAGGGAAGAAAGAGAUGACGGUACCUAAAUAAGAAGCCCCGGCUAACUAC
RNAcentral lists this ribosomal RNA (282 nucleotides) under uncultured bacterium. Its description in RNAcentral is "partial 16S ribosomal RNA". It matches the Rfam family "Bacterial small subunit ribosomal RNA", at positions 205 to 504 of the family's 1533-position model. The record is from RNAcentral.